Molecule: long non-coding RNA, 609 nt
Organism: Gymnodraco acuticeps
Lineage: Eukaryota; Metazoa; Chordata; Actinopteri; Perciformes; Bathydraconidae
Exons: 3
Source: RefSeq, a predicted model, not a curated record
GGUAUGGGCUAGUUGCACAAGAUGGCGUCUAUCAACUUCCGGCGGCUGGGUGUGCGGUUGUAAACUUCCGGUCUACAGUAGAGCGGUAGAGGGAAGUGCGAUAGAUAGCGUAUAGAUAGCGUAUAGAUAGCGUAUAGAUAGCGAGAGAGAUAGCGUAUAGAUAUUAUAUAGGCACUAUUUUACACUCGAUGUCUCCAAGACCUACCGAAGGUUAACAUCAGUGAUGUACAUCGGCUGGUACAAGCGGCAGGCUCAGCCCCGAGGAGCAAAAGAGAAAAGGGGUUCAAGAUGUAGCUACAUAUCCAGCUACGUCGACAAUUAUGAAGGGUGUGAAACCAGGCAGAGUGAGUGACAUGGUGUUCAUUUCCACUAUGCCAAAGCAGUUUACAGUUGCUGACGGUGUAAGGAGUACACGUUACAAGGCCGUGCGGGGGGAGCUGCCAGACCCAGAUGUCCUCAAAGUCAGCGAGGUAUACAAGGACUUCUCAGCAGACAUCGCAAACCGAAAAAAAAAAAGGAAUGGCUCACUACUCAACUCAACGACUAACACUCUUUCAGAGGAUAUUCUUCAGAUUAUGGACUAUUGUGAUGUUGUCUACCAAAAUGCAC